CCUACGGGGUGCAGCAGUGAGGAAUAUUGGUCAAUGGGCGGAAGCCUGAACCAGCCACGUAGCGUGCAGGAUGACGGCCCUACGGUUUGUAAACUGCUUUUGUACGGGAAUAACGCGCCUUACGUGUUGGGCUUUGCAUGUACCGUAUGAAUAAGGACCGGCUAAUUCCGUGCCAGCAGCCGCGGUAAUACGGAAGGUACGGGCGUUAUCCGGAUUUAUUGGGUUUAAAGGGAGCGUAGGCCGCAUGACAAGCGUACUGUGAAAUGUCCGGGCUCAACCCGGGCCUUGCAGCGCGAACUGGCGUGCGUGAGUCCGCGGAAGGCAGGCGGAAUUCGUCGUGUAGCGGUGAAAGGCUUAGAGAUGACGAAGAACCCCGGUGGCGAAGGCAGCUUGUUGCAGCGGAACUGACGCUGAGGCGCGAAAGCGCGGGUAGCGAACAGGAUUAGAUACCCUAGUAGUC
This 460-nucleotide ribosomal RNA is filed under the name uncultured bacterium. RNAcentral's name for it is "partial 16S ribosomal RNA". It matches the Rfam family "Bacterial small subunit ribosomal RNA", at positions 338 to 795 of the family's 1533-position model. The record is from RNAcentral.